RNAcentral lists this small nuclear RNA (20 nucleotides) under Arabidopsis thaliana (thale cress). RNAcentral describes it as "snRNA_01659". The record is from RNAcentral. Lineage: Eukaryota; Viridiplantae; Streptophyta; Magnoliopsida; Brassicales; Brassicaceae.
CAUUGCGAUGGUCCCUGCGG